Molecule: long non-coding RNA, 1072 nt
Organism: Bactrocera latifrons
Lineage: Eukaryota; Metazoa; Arthropoda; Insecta; Diptera; Tephritidae
Exons: 3
Source: RefSeq, a predicted model, not a curated record
UUUUAAUAUUAUAUAUGCAAUUAUGUAAGAUUAAAUUGCUUUAAUUUUAGCAGAAAUAUAGAUAAUGAGUCAAACACAUAAGUAUAUAGAGUCUGAUCAACGUCGAAGGUGGCGACAUUACUGGAGGAGAUGUGUAGACCUGGUUGUAACCGUUAAUGCUAAUUCAUAAAAUCCGGAAAACCACAAAGAUUGGCUAUUCAAAAUACGUCCUAUGACUGACGCUUUGAACAAAAGUUUUCAGCAAGUGUAUCAUGGAACCAAGGAAUUAUCAGUAGACUAAUCUAUAAUUAUUUUCAAGUGCAGACGCUCUAUGAAACAAUAUUGCGCCAUGAAACCAAGCUCGGUUAUAAGUUUUGGUGUUUGUAGGAUCAAUUCGGCUAUAGUAAAGAAUUGCAAAUAUACCAAGGAGAAGAAGAAAAUGUGGAAGCAAAGUACGAAGGAUUUGGUCUGGGGGAGAGAGUGGUUGUGUCCCUCAGAGAAGAUGAGUGGCAAUAGAACAAGCAAUCGAAGGGACUUCUUUCAAACAUAAAGCCAGACAAGCAAAUGAAAAGAGACAAGUUUGAUUCACGAUCAAAAACAAAUGGAUAUAUUGUUUAUAAAUGGAUAGAUAAUAAACCCAUCAUUCAUGGGCGGAAAAGAUCAUGCAGAUCCAAUACGAAGUACCUACGGGAUAGGCAGACGUUUUAAAAAAUGGGGGCAUAGAUUGUUUUGGGGGCUUUUGGAAAUAACGUUCGUUAAUUCUUAUGUUGAAUACUGAUUUAUAGGCGAUCCGUUGCUUAAGGCCUAAUGGCGCAAAAGGAAAUUGGUGCCAAGAAAAGGAGCUUGAGUUAGACGCCAACACAGUCAAGCAAAGCAUGUUGUAAUAAAGGUGCGUCUUUUGCAACUGAUGUUCGACUUUGGAGUACAUUGGCAAUUUUGUUUAAACCCGAAGAAAAUGUGAUAUGUGCAGCCGGCAUUCCGGUAUAUUUUUAUACUGCUAUAAAGAACUAACUGUUUCGUCCAAUAUCAUGACAUUAAUAAUGGAAAACUUUUCGGCUCCUUUUGUUGUUGUUGUUGUUUUAACGUUUCUGGG